Long non-coding RNA from Oncorhynchus tshawytscha (Chinook salmon), 1036 nucleotides. Lineage: Eukaryota; Metazoa; Chordata; Actinopteri; Salmoniformes; Salmonidae. The record is from Ensembl.
UUUUAUUGUAGUCUACUUGGUAAAUAUUUUCUUCUUCUUGAACUGCACUGUUGGUAAGUCAGCAUUUCAUGAUAAAGUCUACACUUAUUGUAUUCGGCACAUGUGACAAAUAAAGUUUGAUUUGAAUUGAUUUGAAAAAGUCAAGGGGUCUGAAUACAUUCCAAAGGCACUGUAAUAACAUGAUACACUGUUAAACUAUCAACAGCCUCUCUGAUUAUUGACUUGUCCUAAAGAGCAGUUUACAUCCUGUCUGAUGACUGUCACAUCCAAUGAUCAAUCUAUCCAUCUAACCAUCCAUCCGCCCAUCCAUAUACCCAUCCAUCCUUCUGUCUAUCCUUCCUUCCAUCCAUCCAUCCAUACACCCAUCCAUGCUGUUACGUUCCCCAGUUUCUGUGUUGUGGGUUUGUAUGUCUGUGUGUAUUUCAGGAAAUGGAAUCCUGGAGCAGCUGAUUGGUCGGUCCCAUCGCUGAUUGGAGCUCUGACUCCACCCUCUCGUCAGGGGAAACAGCUGGAUCUUCAAUUACCAACUCCUUCUGCAGCUUGAAAAGCCAGUGUUCCUUUGUAUCCUUCUUUGUAAGACCUGGCUGGACCACCCCCUGUGUUUUGGUUAGUGCGCCAGGUGGUGCUAAGAUUAGGUGGGUAGGUAGGAGAGGGGACUCUUUAACUUUCAUUGCUUUGGUUCCGUCCAGUCCCUUCUCCCCUCAUUACCGUGUUAAGGAAAUAAAUUCCCUGUAAACGGUCAUUUUCUCUGCUUCUGUCGUCCUUCCCCCAACUACGAUCACAUACUUUUUCGCUCCACGGGGAGUUGAGAUGUAGCAGCGUGUUGUGUUCCCUCCUCCAAGAGGCCUACGUAACACAUACACCCAUCCAUAGUAGGUUGGGGUCCACACAAGUCACAAUGAAUAUGCUAUUAUUGCCUGACACUGGUUGCUUGCAGAAACCAUGUACCCAAAACCUCCAUUAAAUAAAACUGGUGGACAAAUAUAACAUGAUACACUGCCUGAUCUGAUCUCUUCCAACAACAAUUAAAAACUGA